This 397-nucleotide ribosomal RNA is filed under the name uncultured bacterium. RNAcentral describes it as "partial 16S ribosomal RNA". It matches the Rfam family "Bacterial small subunit ribosomal RNA", at positions 523 to 918 of the family's 1533-position model. The record is from RNAcentral.
AUACGUAGGGGGCGAGCGUUGUCCGGAAUGAUUGGGCGUAAAGGGCGCGUAGGCGGCGCGGUAAGUCUGGAGUGAAAGUCCUGCUUUCAAGGUGGGAAUUGCUUUGGAUACUGCCGCGCUUGAGUGCAGGAGAGGUUAUCGGAAUUCCCGGUGUAGCGGUGAAAUGCGUAGAGAUCGGGAGGAACACCAGUGGCGAAGGCGGGUAACUGGACUGCAACUGACGCUGAGGCGCGAAAGUGUGGGGAGCAAACAGGAUUAGAUACCCUGGCAGUCCACACUGUAAACGAUGAAUGCUAGGUGUAAGAGGUAUCGACCCCUUUUGUGCCGGAGUCAACACAAUAAGCAUUCCGCCUGGGGAGUACGGCCGCAAGGUUGAAACUCAAAGGAAUUGACGGGG